UGAUGGCGAACCUAACCACAAAAUGACCAUGAGAUUGUCAGGGGUCUAGUAAAGACAUGAUGGUGCCCUUAACUGUGAAGGUUAUGACGAAAUUUGUAGGUCAGUAAUUAAGAGAUGAUGCUGAUAAUAACCACAGUAAGGAGCAGGGGAUUUUGCAAGUAACCAGGUAAGAGAUGAUGGUAUCUCUAAAAAUAUGGUGACCAUGGAAUUUUGAGGAUAUCCAAUCAAGGAAUAAUGUGUUACUAGUAAUGGUAGUACCAAGGGAUUUUACAGUUACCCUGGAAAGAAAUGAUGUGUCCCUAGCAAUGGCAUUUAAUCUGGGUAAUUUGUAGGUCUUCAUGUAUGGUAGGCUUCUCUAAAUCUGGUAGAUCUCACGGGCUUCUGUAGGCAUCCACAUGAGAGAUGACGUGACACAAAUUGCAACCAAUUGCCACCAUUGUAACCUAGGUGUUUUAUAAGUAUCCAGCUUAAAGCUGUAGCUUUAUUUAUUCCUUGGAUGUAAGACUUUCAUGUUAUCUAUUGUUUUCUUUCUUUUUGAAACAGAGUCUGGCUGAGGUAAGUGCUGAUGUGGGCCUAAACCACAGCCUGCACCGUGGGACUGUCACAGAGACACAGUUGAGUGAUGAUGUGUCCCUACAGGCCUUACCACCAUUAUUUCCUUCAUACUUAUUCAGGUGUCCUGUAGAGAGAAAUGCUGUCUUCUGGGACCACCGCCCUGAGCUUGGGGGCCCCCACUAGCAUUCAGGUUCCCGGGAGAAAAUCCUGAAGAACGGGGGUCAUGAGCAGGGGACGUGUCUGCUAUCUGGGUAAGUGAUUGUGUGCACCAUAAACUUACCACGGACAACCUGAUCUUCACGUUUGUAGGUCAGUGAGGUUCCUUUCCCUGAACAGUUUACCAUGUGAUGCGUUUAUGGGUAUUCCGGUAAGAAAGGGUAGUGGCUCCUCGUUCUCCUUGCCAUGUAAUCCUAUUGUUUUCUGUCUUGGAGAGAACGUAUGAGGUAAGUACCCUGUGAGUGCUGAUGGAUUGGCACGUAACCAGGGAACUCCAGUGGCACUGUGCAUCACAGGAGUAACUAAGGUGGAUGUGCAGAGAAGACGGCCAGAGAAAAUGAAGUGUCCUAUGAUGUCCUACCCCUUGGAGCAACCACAAGC
Molecule: long non-coding RNA, 1152 nt
Filed under: Homo sapiens (human)
Lineage: Eukaryota; Metazoa; Chordata; Mammalia; Primates; Hominidae
Description: HSALNT0280323
Source: RNAcentral